AUGGGCUCACUCCAGCUGUCCCUGCCUGGUUCUCUGGAGUUGGCACUCCUACCUUCAAUGCAUCGAUUUGAAUCAUUAUUUCCAAACCCAGACGUCUGACUGCCAGCUGUGUCUACUUAUUUUUACUAUCCCUUAUACAGGCUGUUGCCUAUAAGUCUUCAGAAGCUUGGCGAUGGCUUUCUUUGACUUUCUUUAUUGAUGACUGCCCAGAAGGGCCCACACCGGUGUGAGUGGUACAGGGGAUGCAGGGAACGCAAGCCCAGGCAACCCCCCUCCCACGAGCCUCCCUACAAUUCCAGCAGUCUGUCCUGCCCCCCUAUCUGGAGUAGCCAAGAACUUAGGUUUGUGCUGAGCAUUUUUGAAGAGGCAGCAGGAAGGCCAGAAGCACAUCCUGCUAUCACAAAAUAAUACUCCAUCUUUCAGGAUCGUGAAAAUUUGAGUUAUAAAUUACGUGAUACAGAUUCUAAAUUAUGCAAGACUUCACAAGAGGUCAGGUGAAGGCUGGAUGGCCUCAGAAGGAUGGCUUCAGAAGGCCUUCAGAAGGAUUGCUACAAUUCAUCAUGCACAAGGUGUUGAGGGUCUGGAGCAGGGAAGGAAUCGGGGGCAUCUGAAUGGAGAAAUGGGGACUUGAUGGAGGAUUCAUGAAAUGAUUUUUAGGAUACUUGAGGGCUUGGGAGGAAUACACACAGUCUGGAAAGUCCCCCUGCUUAAGGGUGCCACAAUCCAGCUCCCGGAGGCAUCCAGAUGAAGCAAAAGACCCUCACCACCUUGUGACAUAUAUUGCCACAACCCUUCUGAAAGCCUCCCUCAUCGGAAAAUCCAAAAUCUGAAAUGCUUCAAAUCUGAAGGUUUCUGAGCACCGACAAGACCCAAGUGGAAAAUUUCACACCGGACCUCAUUUGAUGCGUCACAGUCAAAACGUAGUCAAAGCUUUGUUACAUGCACAAAAUUCUUUAAAAUAUUGUAGAAAAUUA
Molecule: long non-coding RNA, 974 nt
Filed under: Homo sapiens (human)
Lineage: Eukaryota; Metazoa; Chordata; Mammalia; Primates; Hominidae
Description: HSALNT0299098
Source: RNAcentral